RNAcentral lists this ribosomal RNA (274 nucleotides) under uncultured bacterium. Its description in RNAcentral is "partial 16S ribosomal RNA". It matches the Rfam family "Bacterial small subunit ribosomal RNA", at positions 523 to 796 of the family's 1533-position model. The record is from RNAcentral.
AUACGGAGGGUGCGAGCGUUAAUCGGAAUUACUGGGCGUAAAGCGCGCGUAGGCGGUUUGGUCAGUCGGAUGUGAAAGCCCCGGGCUCAACCUGGGAACUGCUUCCGAAACUUCAUAGCUCGAGUCCCGGAGAGGUUGGCGGAAUUCCGAGUGUAGAGGUGAAAUUCGCAGAUAUUCGGAGGAACACCAGUGGCGUAGGCGGCCAACUGGACGGGUACUGACGCUGAGGUACGAAAGCGUGGGGAGCAAACAGAAUUAGAAACCCUAGUAGUCC